UACGUAGGUGGCAAGCGUUGUCCGGAUUUAUUGGGUUUAAAGGGUGCGUAGGCGGUCUUUUAAGUCAGUGCUGAAAUAUCCCGGCUUAACCGGGAGGGUGGCAUUGAUACUGAAGGACUUUGAGUUCAGUCGAGGUAGGCGGAAUUGACGGUGUAGCGGUGAAAUGCUUAGAUAUCGUCAAGAACACCGAUAGUGUAGACAGCUUCUAGGCUGAAAACUGACGCUUGAGGCACGAAAAGUGUGGGGGAU
Molecule: ribosomal RNA, 249 nt
Filed under: uncultured bacterium
Lineage: Bacteria
Description: partial 16S ribosomal RNA
Rfam family: Bacterial small subunit ribosomal RNA
Source: RNAcentral